UACAGAGGUGGCAAGCGUUGUUCGGAUUUACUGGGCGUAAAGGGUGCGUAGGUGGUCGCUUAUGUCGGGUGUGAAAUACCAAGGCUCAACCUUGGAAUGGCGCUCGAAACUGGGCGACUUGAGUGCAGGAGGGGAGAGCGGAAUUCUUGGUGUAGCGGUGAAAUGCGUUGAUAUCAAGAAGAACACCGGUGGCGAAGGCGGCUCUCUGGAAUGCUACUGACACUGAGGCACGAGAGUUGGGGGAGCAAACAGG
RNAcentral lists this ribosomal RNA (253 nucleotides) under uncultured bacterium. RNAcentral describes it as "partial 16S ribosomal RNA". It matches the Rfam family "Bacterial small subunit ribosomal RNA", at positions 524 to 776 of the family's 1533-position model. The record is from RNAcentral.